GGUUUAAUUCGAUGAUACGCGAGGAACCUUACCCGGGCUUGAAAGUUAGCGACGAUUCUUGAAAGAGGAUUUCCCUUCGGGGCGCGAAACUAGGUGCUGCAUGGUUGUCGUCAGCUCGUGCCGUGAGGUGUCGGGUUAAGUCCCAUAACGAGCGCAACCCCUACCGUUAGUUGCCAUCAGGUGAAGCUGGGCACUCUGGCGGGACUGCCGGUGUAAGCCGAGA
RNAcentral lists this ribosomal RNA (223 nucleotides) under uncultured bacterium. Its description in RNAcentral is "partial 16S ribosomal RNA". It matches the Rfam family "Bacterial small subunit ribosomal RNA", at positions 943 to 1167 of the family's 1533-position model. The record is from RNAcentral.